UACGGAGGGUGCAAGCGUUGUCCGGAUUUAUUGGGUUUAAAGGGUGCGUAGGCGGCUGAAUAAGUCAGCGGUGAAAGACUUCGGCUUAACCGGAGCAGUGCCGUUGAUACUGUUUGGCUUGAGUGUUGGAGGGGUACAUGGAAUUGAUGGUGUAGCGGUGAAAUGCAUAGAUACCAUCAGGAACACCGAUAGCGAAGGCAUUGUACUGGCCAACAACUGACGCUGAGGCACGAAAGUGUGGGAUCGAAUAGG
Molecule: ribosomal RNA, 252 nt
Filed under: uncultured bacterium
Lineage: Bacteria
Description: partial 16S ribosomal RNA
Rfam family: Bacterial small subunit ribosomal RNA
Source: RNAcentral